GGGCGUUGAAAAGAACUUUGAAGAGAGAGUUCAAGAGUACGUGAAACCGUUCAGGGGUAAACGGAAAAGAUCCGGAAUGUCGAAAGGAGAGAUUCACGUCUUUACCGGACGUCGGCCAGCUGACCGCCGGAUGGUAUCCGCUUGAAGCCCGGCCUCGGCCGCGGUCGAAGGCGGAUCCACCAGCGCGGACGGCGCGGUCCGGCGCCGGAGGACCGCACUUCUCUUCCUGUAGGACGUCGCGACCCGUUGGCUAGCGGUCUACGGGCCGGGGUGGCAGCCUCAAAUCGGCCCCUCGUCCAGGCGGGGUGCGCCGGCUUGAGACCCCCGGCGCCCGGCCGACCAGCUGACGGUAUGAAAAGAUGGUGCGCGGACCGAGCUCUGCUCGGCCCGGUCGCAAGCGUUGCGUUACUGCGGGUGGUUCGGGCCCAGUGUCCGGCCCUCGCAUGCGCAGUGCUGUUGGCGGCCCGGGCUCUUUCGGCCCGCGCGUGAACCUGUCGGCGACGCUUCAGCUUCGGAUUCUUAUCCGACCCGUCUUGAAACACGGACC
Molecule: ribosomal RNA, 547 nt
Filed under: Ommatissus lybicus
Lineage: Eukaryota; Metazoa; Arthropoda; Insecta; Hemiptera; Tropiduchidae
Description: eukaryotic LSU rRNA
Source: RNAcentral